This is a long non-coding RNA of Melopsittacus undulatus (budgerigar), 1896 nucleotides long. RefSeq lists it as uncharacterized. Lineage: Eukaryota; Metazoa; Chordata; Aves; Psittaciformes; Psittaculidae. The record is from RefSeq and is a predicted model, not a curated record. The transcript has 3 exons.
GCGGCGAAGGGCCGCGGCCGAGGGAAGCCCGACGGCGGCUCGGAGGCAGCGGGGCUGGGGCCAGGCCGGGGUGGGCCCCGCUGACGGCGGGACUUGGCUCGCCGGUUCUGGAACCAGACCUGGGGAGAGAGGGCGGCGAUAAGGCAGCAUGUACAGAGCAGUGCAGGAGGAGCAGGGAGCUGCUGACACUGAAAAUCCUGGCAGACUGAAGACUGAUCCUCCCUGCACACAGAGCUUGGGUUUGCAUCUCUUCAGACAAAUGGCAUCUUCCCACUGGCUGCACGGAGCAGGCUCCUCCUUCAGGGACCAGGAUAAUUUCUGCCUGUGACACACAAAGAACCACACAGAACCAGCUGUUACAAGAUAUAAAUGAACAAUUUACUGGCUGAACUCAGCACAUGUUCUCAAGCUAUUGGAAACUCUGUCACCAUCAUUUGGGAAAUACUUGGUUAUUACAUUAUCCCAGACCAGGACUUCCUGACUCCUCAAAAUUUGAGCUUCCCUUUUUCCUAAUGUAUCAUCUCACAGCUAUUCGCCUUCCUAUACCUGACCAUGCACACAGCUUGCCCACCAGUUGCACAUCACAGCACUUACUGACACUGCUGCAUAACAGCAAGUUUCUGUAUUGCUCAAUCCAACUUGGAAGUGCCAUGAAACAGGGAAGUCGAUGUAACACACCAUUCCAUGCUCAGCAGACCACUGUGCUAUGGGAAGGCAGGCAGAGAGCUCCGCACUUCCUGGUGGCUCUCUGAACAGAGGCAGAGCAGGCUGCAGCACCGUGCCUUGGCCAUGCCUCAGUCAGGCGCAGUGCUACCGGAGAUGUCUUCCUUCAGCAUUCCAGCUGGGAUCUCUCCAAGAGACUACGCUGCACUUCAUGGAGAAACCUGCUCCGCUGGCGCCAGCUCGCGUGUCUGUAGCACGGAAUAGCAAAGCUGGCACAAGAAGAAAGGAAUAGUCUCACAUUUGCUCCGGGAGAGAGCCUGUCAGGAGACAAGUCAGUUUUCUGCAAUUAUUCCCAAAAUCAGCUUGUCAAGCAAGAUGCUUGUGGAGCAUCCUGGAUUUAGCUUGGCCUCCAAACACAUAGGCAGACUGAGGACUGGUGUAUAAAAUGAAGUUAAUAUGUCCUUCUGUUUUGGUGAAACAUAGACUAUCCAGUAGGGAUCAGUGAGAACUUCAGUUUCUUUUACUCAAAGGAUUCAUUUUUAGGAUAAAGAAUUCAGAGUUUCUUAAAGCAGGAACUUUAACCUCACAAAGGAUUAAACCAUAGAAUUGAUGCCAUAAGAAAAUACUUAGGAAGCACAGGCUGCUCAAGCCAAGCAGGAAACAUGUAUCAAAGCUUUGAAAACAGAUGUUUUAAUACAAGUGGUUUUAGAAAUGAACUAACAAAAUGAAAUUGGAUCUGAUGCUGACAUGAUAGGCUUGUAAAGCAGGCUUGUGUGAGGAGCUAAAAUCACCCAUCCUGCUGUAUGUCUGCUCCAUGAGAUAGCACCAAGUAGUCAGAACAGAGGGCAAACAAUACAGUGUUAUAUUUGGUCAUAGAACCAUAGAAUGGUUUGGGUUAGAAAGCACCUUAAAGCUCAUCCAGUUCCAACCCUGCCACGGGCAGGGACACCUUCCACUAGACCAGGUUGUUCCAAGCCCCAUCCAACCUGGCCUUGAACCCUGCCAGGGAUGGGGCAGCCACAGCUUCCCUGGGCACACUGUGCCAGUAUCCCCAAUCAAAAAAGACCCCAACCACAAAACCAAACCAAAAUGCUAGUGAAGGAACUACAAAAGAUUCCCAAUUGGUUGUAAAAUGCCUUUUGAAACUGAUUUAUCAUCUGAAUCAAAUUGUGCCCCAUUUGUAGUCAACAGCACCCUGUGUGGCACUCACUCUCUUACAAAAUACUAAUGGGA